AUGCGCACAAUAUAGCUGGGCACUAUUAUACCUAAAGGGUUACCAUUCUUUGCAGUCCUAUAGGAUAGCUCAUGUAUUAUGGAAUCAAGGGCGUAAGGUUCUGGCGUUGGCGCUGCAAAGCCGUAUCAGCGAGGUUUUUGCAGUGGAUAUACACCUAGGU
Hordeum vulgare subsp. vulgare (domesticated barley) is the source of this 160-nucleotide long non-coding RNA. RefSeq lists it as uncharacterized. The record is from RefSeq and is a predicted model, not a curated record. The transcript has 3 exons. NCBI's taxonomy places the organism in Eukaryota, Viridiplantae, Streptophyta, Magnoliopsida, Poales, Poaceae.